GGGGUGUGCUCAGAGCAAGGGGCAUAAAGAAAUGGCUCCUUUGUUUAUAACAACAGGAAUCUGGGUUCAUUGUGACAAGGGGCACAAAACUUGGGGCCUUCCUAUGAACAAAUACCCUACAUGU
Small nucleolar RNA from Camelus dromedarius (Arabian camel), 124 nucleotides. NCBI's taxonomy places the organism in Eukaryota, Metazoa, Chordata, Mammalia, Artiodactyla, Camelidae. The record is from Ensembl.